RNAcentral lists this long non-coding RNA (592 nucleotides) under Setaria italica (foxtail millet). Its description in RNAcentral is "long non-coding RNA (SITA_LNC004822)". Lineage: Eukaryota; Viridiplantae; Streptophyta; Magnoliopsida; Poales; Poaceae. The record is from RNAcentral.
GCGUGCGCGCGGGGGUCCGUCCCCCUGCUGCCGAGUGCUGCGUGGCUGCCGACCUCGCCGGCUCGUAUCCUACGCCGCUCGUUCGUGUCGGCGUGCCCCUCGUCAACUCCUCGCUGCUCGCUGCUCGAUCGCGGCCGCUUUGGCCGGGCACGACGCGCGCGUGGGUCGUGCGCCCGGAGACCGGGAGAGCGCCUGAGAUUGACAGCGUCCACGGCUCCGCGCUGUGUGAUGGCGACGACGGGCAUAGCCAUGGCUCCAUGCUUCUGAUUACUGUACACAAACCCGAGGCAAUGCCCAGGUGUGAAAUUCGGUCCCAUCAUCGCCGAUGGCUGUUGGAUCAUUUCACAGGGGACAGGACCUGCUAAUUAUGUGACCAGCUCCCCAGUACAGUAAAGAGUAGGACGGCAUUUUUUAUUUUUCCUGGACCGACUUUGUUACACCGGCCCGGCCGCGGCAAGGCGUUUCCUUUCUCAACUUCAUAUACCACCCUUUAAGUUGAUUAAGUCCUCCAUAUCUUUAUUAGUGAGCUUUAAUUCUUUUCAUUGAAUUAUUGAAUAAUUGGGUCAAGCCUGUAAAUUUCAACAAUCCCCAU